RNAcentral lists this ribosomal RNA (462 nucleotides) under Candidatus Neomicrothrix sp. RNAcentral describes it as "bacterial SSU rRNA". It matches the Rfam family "Bacterial small subunit ribosomal RNA", at positions 1 to 457 of the family's 1533-position model. RNAcentral also lists the same sequence under 1 other name. Lineage: Bacteria; Bacillati; Actinomycetota; Acidimicrobiia; Acidimicrobiales; Microthrixaceae. The record is from RNAcentral.
UCGACGGAGAGUUUGAUCCUGGCUCAGGACGAACGCUGGCGGCAUGCCUAAUACAUGCAAGUCGAACGCGACCAGCCGGUGCUUGCACUGGCGAAGUCGAGUGGCGAACGGGUGAGUAACACGUGAGAAACCUACCCUGGAGUGGGGAAUAACUCGAAGAAAUUCGAGCUAAUACCGCAUACCUUCUUACCGUCGAAUGGUGGUUUGAAGAAAGAUUUAUCGCUCUGGGAGGGUCUCGCGGCCUAUCAGCUAGUUGGUGAGGUAACGGCUCACCAAGGCAUCGACGGGUAGCUGGUCUGAGAGGACGAUCAGCCACACUGGAACUGAGACACGGUCCAGACUCCUACGGGAGGCAGCAGUAGGGAAUCUUGCGCAAUGGGCGAAAGCCUGACGCAGCAAUGCCGCGUGCGGGACGAAGGCCCUAGGGUCGUAAACCGCUUUCAGUAGGGACGAAAAUGACGG